AUUGAACGCUGGCGGCAUGCCUUACACAUGCAAGUCGAACGGCAGCACGGGAGCAAUCCUGGUGGCGAGUGGCGAACGGGUGAGUAAUGUAUCGGAACGUACCUUUCAGUGGGGGAUAACGUAGCGAAAGUUACGCUAAUACCGCAUAUUCUGUGAGCAGGAAAGCAGGGGAUCGCAAGACCUUGCGCUGAUUGAGCGGCCGAUAUCAGAUUAGCUAGUUGGUGAGGUAAAGGCUCACCAAGGCGACGAUCUGUAGCGGGUCUGAGAGGAUGAUCCGCCACACUGGAACUGAGACACGGUCCAGACUCCUACGGGAGGCAGCAGUGGGGAAUAUUGCGCAAGUAGGGGGAAACCCUGACGCAGCAACGCCGCGUGAGUGAGGAAGGACUUCGGUCUGUAAGCUCUGUUAAUGUAGG
RNAcentral lists this ribosomal RNA (416 nucleotides) under uncultured bacterium. Its description in RNAcentral is "bacterial SSU rRNA". It matches the Rfam family "Bacterial small subunit ribosomal RNA", at positions 30 to 445 of the family's 1533-position model. The record is from RNAcentral.